This is a long non-coding RNA of Haliotis rubra (blacklip abalone), 376 nucleotides long. RefSeq lists it as uncharacterized. The record is from RefSeq and is a predicted model, not a curated record. The transcript is spliced from 3 exons. Lineage: Eukaryota; Metazoa; Mollusca; Gastropoda; Lepetellida; Haliotidae.
CGGAAGGCCUUGAUAUGUGUCACACAGGGUGACAUGCUACACCGGUCACACGGAAGGCCUUGAUAUGUGUCACACAGGGUAACAUGCUACACAGGUUAUCACACGGAAGCCUUUAUAUGUGUCACACAGGUUAACAUACUACAUUGGUUGUCACACGGAAUGCCUUGAUAUAUGUCACACAGGGUAACAUGCUACACUGGUUGUUACACGGAAGGCCUUGAGACUCGAUAUGUCACACAUACAGAUAUGCAUAUAUCUUUCUCAUCAAACGUUACAUAUCAGGUCACAUAUCAGGUCGACACAGGGGGUGUCAAAUUGUCACAUGUCGCACCCCACUCUCACAUGUGACGUUUAUCAUGAAAGUCUGGUGGUAAAG